Oncorhynchus keta (chum salmon) is the source of this 1478-nucleotide long non-coding RNA. RefSeq lists it as uncharacterized. The transcript has 3 exons. Lineage: Eukaryota; Metazoa; Chordata; Actinopteri; Salmoniformes; Salmonidae. The record is from RefSeq and is a predicted model, not a curated record.
AACACAUACUACAACACAUAAACUCUGGACGUAACAGUGAAUGAUAGCAGAAUCAGUCAGGUGUCUGGCAGUCAGCCAUUUUCUGAUCACGCUUAUUCCUCAUGGUAGUCAUUUGCGUUCCAUGGCUCAUGAAGACAAGACGGAAUAGUCCGGUUGGAACUUUAUUGAAGAGGUGAGUGGCAUUAGACGUGAGUUAUUCUCCUCCAGAGGAGGAGAAGAGGGCAAGUGACCUGGCAGAGGAUGCUGAAACCCUUCUAAAGACGCUGUUCCUGUUCUGUUUCAUGUCCCUGUUUCACCUGUACUUGCUUCUCGCAUCCAGCGUCAAGCCUCAAAGAAUGCUGACACCACUAAAGAAAGCAUCAGGAGGUUUUUGGUUUUGGUGACGUCGGGUCCGGGUGCCGUCGCCAAUGGAACCAGGGGUGCCUCAGCUAGCUCGUUGGGCUUCCAUGCCUUAGUUUGCUCGAGAAGUCGUCUUGUCCCGUUUGGCUCGGCAGAUGCCUACCCCACAUCAUGCUUCAGCCGGCCCACAGGCUCCCACCCCUUAGCGGGUUCGAAUGGCUUUCACGCCUCAUGCAGAACAUGGGGGUCCCACACCUCAGCCGGCUCGCCGGGCUCCCACGCCUCAGCUAGGUCACCGGGCUCCCACGCCUCAGAGGGAGUCAGGAUGCCUACCAUUACGGAACUGUCUCCAUCAUUACGCACAACUGCGCAAUAUUGGACUCACCUGGACUCCAUUACUUUAUUGAUUACCCACUCUAUAUCUGUCUGCUCCUGUUAAGAUAUUUUAUCAAGGUUUAAGAUAAAUGAUUAAAUAAUUAUACUCAGAACCUUAACCAUUAGGGAUUAGAGGUCUUGUAGCAUGAACAAGGAUUAAUAAAAAAUGGGGGUGGGGAAGAGAGGAAUACAUGUGUGUGCCUAACGAAAACAAAGAGGGUCCUUAACCUAUAUUUGAACUGACUCAGCUAUAACUCUGUGGCGAAAAUAUAAGACAGCAAGAGCCCCUCCAGGUUUUCCGUAUCUGGGGGGGACUGGAACUAUCUGCUAAGUGAAAAUAAACUGUGGUGAGACGUCAUGAGUUAAUCCAGAUAUAGUGUGUCGUGUAUGUGCGCUAGUGGGUUGGAAUGGACUUUAGAAGUAGCUUUUUCCUUGUUCGAGAGAAGGAGGAGCCUUCAAGACGCUAUGAUGAAAUGUGUGGUAUAUAAACCAAUGUACAUUGUAUUAUGACCAGCGCUCUCGAGAAUAAAUGCUAUUGGCUAAUUUCAGGUGACUGGUCUCUGUCCAUUUUAUACAAAUAAGGAUCUUACAAAUUCUUAGAAACGGACAGAGUAUGUUAAAUUGAAUUGGUUAAUGAACCCAUAAAAACUAAAUUAAUCUAACAGCUCCUCACUUUGUUUCCUGUGUCAGCAUUGAUGUCGUUAUUUUUCCCAUGUCCAGAUGCUGUUCCUGUUCUGUUUCAUGCCCGUGUUUAAUUAAAUGUU